AUACGGAGGGUGCAAGCGUUACUCGGAAUCACUGGGCGUAAAGCGCGCGCAGGCGGUCUUUUAAGUUGGAUGUGAAAGCCUACGGCUCAACCGUAGAGCUGCAUCCAAAACUAUUAGACUAGAGUGUGGGAGAGGAAGAUGGAAUUAGUUGUGUAGGGGUAAAAUCCGUAGAGAUAACUAGGAAUACCAAAAGCGAAGGCAAUCUUCUGGAACACUACUGACGCUGAGGCGCGAAAGCGUGGGGAGCAAACGGGAUUAGAAACCCCAGUAGUCC
Molecule: ribosomal RNA, 274 nt
Filed under: uncultured bacterium
Lineage: Bacteria
Description: partial 16S ribosomal RNA
Rfam family: Bacterial small subunit ribosomal RNA
Source: RNAcentral